RNAcentral lists this ribosomal RNA (162 nucleotides) under Enterococcus malodoratus. RNAcentral's name for it is "16S rRNA. Bacterial SSU". It matches the Rfam family "Bacterial small subunit ribosomal RNA", at positions 1 to 145 of the family's 1533-position model. The record is from RNAcentral. Lineage: Bacteria; Bacillati; Bacillota; Bacilli; Lactobacillales; Enterococcaceae.
CUUUUUAUGAGAGUUUGAUCCUGGCUCAGGACGAACGCUGGCGGCGUGCCUAAUACAUGCAAGUCGAACGCUUUUUCUUUCACCGGAGCUUGCUCCACCGAAAGAAAAGGAGUGGCGAACGGGUGAGUAACACGUGGGUAACCUGCCCAUCAGAAGGGGAUA